AUUGAACGCUGGCGGCAUGCUUUACACAUGCAAGUCGAACGGCAGCACGGGCUUCGGCCUGGUGGCGAGUGGCGAACGGGUGAGUAAUAUAUCGGAACGUACCCAGAAGUGGGGGAUAACGUAGCGAAAGUUACGCUAAUACCGCAUACGAUCUAUGGAUGAAAGAGGGGACCGCAAGGCCUUGUGCUCCUGGAGCGGCCGAUAUCUGAUUAGCUAGUUGGUGAGGUAAAGGCUCACCAAGGCGACGAUCAGUAGCUGGUCUGAGAGGACGACCAGCCACACUGGAACUGAGACACGGUCCAGACUCCUACGGGAGGCAGCAGUGGGGAAUUUUGGACAAUGGGCGCAAGCCUGAUCCAGCAAUGCCGCGUGAGUGAAGAAGGCCUUCGGGUUGUAAAGCUCUUUUGUCAGGGAAGAAACGGUAGAGGCUAAUAUCCUUUGCUAAUGACGGUACCUGAAGAAUAAGCACCGGCUAACUACGUG
RNAcentral lists this ribosomal RNA (483 nucleotides) under uncultured bacterium. Its description in RNAcentral is "partial 16S ribosomal RNA". It matches the Rfam family "Bacterial small subunit ribosomal RNA", at positions 30 to 507 of the family's 1533-position model. The record is from RNAcentral.